This 253-nucleotide ribosomal RNA is filed under the name uncultured bacterium. RNAcentral describes it as "partial 16S ribosomal RNA". It matches the Rfam family "Bacterial small subunit ribosomal RNA", at positions 524 to 776 of the family's 1533-position model. The record is from RNAcentral.
UACGAAGGGGGCUAGCGUUGCUCGGAAUCACUGGGCGUAAAGCGCACGUAGGCGGAUCUUUAAGUCGGGGGUGAAAUCCCGGAGCUCAACUCCGGAACUGCCUUUGAUACUGGCGACCUUGAGGCCGGAAGAGGUUAGUGGAAUUCCCAGUGUAGAGGUGAAAUUCGUAGAUAUUGGGAAGAACACCAGUGGCGAAGGCGGCUAACUGGUCCGGAUCUGACGCUGAGGUGCGAAAGCGUGGGGAGCAAACAGG